UACGUAGGGAGCGAGCGUUGUCCGGAUUCAUUGGGCGUAAAGAGCUCGUAGGCGGCUUGGUAAGUCGGAUGUGAAACCCUCCAGGCUCAACCUGGAGUCGCCAUCCGAUACUGCCAUGGCUAGAGUCCGGUAGGGGCCCACGGAAUUCCUGGUGUAGCGGUGAAAUUGCGCAGAUAUCAGGAGGAACACCGAGUGGCGAAGGCAGUGGGCUGGGCCGGCACUGACGCUGGAGGAAGCGAAAGGCGUGGGGGAGCGAACAGG
Molecule: ribosomal RNA, 261 nt
Filed under: uncultured bacterium
Lineage: Bacteria
Description: partial 16S ribosomal RNA
Rfam family: Bacterial small subunit ribosomal RNA
Source: RNAcentral